GGGUCAGUAGGUUGGUCAUGCCACUGAUAUGUACUGGUCUCACUGAUUCCUCCUUCCUGAUGAACUGUAAUGCCAUUAAUUUGGUGUUGAAGGGAAUCUGGACUGUUACCUUGAAAAAAUUAGAGUGCUUAAAGCAGGCUAUUGCCUGAAUACAUUAGCAUGGAAUAAUGAAAUAGGACGGCAUGGUUCUAUUUUGUUGGUUUCUAGGAUCACCGUA
Molecule: ribosomal RNA, 217 nt
Filed under: Campeiostachys nutans
Lineage: Eukaryota; Viridiplantae; Streptophyta; Magnoliopsida; Poales; Poaceae
Description: Elymus nutans partial small subunit ribosomal RNA
Rfam family: Eukaryotic small subunit ribosomal RNA (bases 40-217)
Source: RNAcentral